AAGCAGCGGGAGGGGAGCCGGGCGAUGCUCCCUGGGUGCCCGGUGUCUGGGAGCCACCGGAGUCUGGCUGCCGCGGACCGCCGCCUUCCUCUACCUUCCGCCACCCUGUACUGGGCACAUUCGGUGCUUCGGGCCCGGAAAAUAGUAGGGAUUGUAGCUGGCGCAGUCCCCAGCACUGAGCCGCCUAGGUUGCUUGUGGUAACAAUGGGCCCCAAGCAGUCCAGGGCUCUUUGUCAGGGAUCCCAAACGCCGCCACUUUGAGUGGAAUUUAACGUGCUUCGAUAUUACAUGUUUCCGUCGUGGAAAUAAUAGUUUCUCCAGGGUUUCGCCAGACUGUGAUUGCAGACGAGAUGACGGUCGAACCAAACCCAUUCCAAAGAAAGGUACUGUGGAGGGCUUUGAGCCCGCAGACAACAAGUGUCUGUUAAGAGCUACCGAUGGGAAGAAGAAGAUCAGCACUGUGGUGAGCUCCAAGGAAGUGAAUAAGUUUCAGAUGGCUUAUUCAAACCUCCUGAGAGCUAACAUGGAUGGGCUGAAGAAGAGAGACAAAAAGAACAAAACUAAGAAGACCAAAGCAGCAGCAGCAGCAGCAGCACCUGCCGCAGCAGCAACAGCAGCAACAACAGCAGCAACAGCAGCAACAGCAGCACAGUAAAGGGCAUACAUUUCCUGCUUUCACCAAUUAACCACUGAAUUGCUAUUUUUUCCUUUUGGCCAGAUAGCUAGGUUUCUGG
RNAcentral lists this small RNA (734 nucleotides) under Pongo abelii (Sumatran orangutan). RNAcentral describes it as "processed transcript". The record is from RNAcentral. Lineage: Eukaryota; Metazoa; Chordata; Mammalia; Primates; Hominidae.